CCAGCAGCACGGUUCCUAUUAUAGUUGAAGAAACUCGUUUUUCGAUACAUUAUCUUCUUUGGUAAUUGUGCUUCUCAUUUUGUAAUUGUGUUGCUUCUUUAGACAAUGUUGAGCAGUGUACUUAGCUUCUCUACAAUAAACACAACCCCUCUUGGUGACAUCGAGUCUUUUUCUGCUUUGUGAGAGGUUUAAAACAUAUCAUAUCGAUUUGCAUUAGUUUCAGCUUUGAUAAAUAUAUUUUAAAAAACUUGGAAACUAUUGCUAUUACGUGACU
This 274-nucleotide long non-coding RNA is filed under the name Physcomitrium patens. RNAcentral's name for it is "long non-coding RNA (PPAT_LNC010870)". The record is from RNAcentral. Lineage: Eukaryota; Viridiplantae; Streptophyta; Bryopsida; Funariales; Funariaceae.